Molecule: long non-coding RNA, 526 nt
Organism: Ornithodoros turicata
Lineage: Eukaryota; Metazoa; Arthropoda; Arachnida; Ixodida; Argasidae
Exons: 3
Source: RefSeq, a predicted model, not a curated record
UUGAGCAUCAACGACGGAUAGGGUGAGGACCAGCACAAGGACCAAGGCGAGAACGGCAGCGUAUUUCUGCAUCUUGCUGGCUGAAAUAUGGAAAUAUAUGGCGAAAAAUGACAUUCAUCCCCCCCAACAAUGGACCAUCCUCCAGCGUACAAGGAGAGCGCAGCCUUUGGGUUCUGGUGCUUUGUCUCGGGCGUCAGACUCACGCCUGAAUGAUUGCAAUGGCUCCUCGACAGAAGAAGUCAUCAGGAUCAAGAGUUUCCGUGGAGACAAGUGAGGUCACGGGCAACGCCAGCAAGGUUAACCACGAAGGAAGGAAAACGCCAAAUAGACGAGAGGAAAAAGCAAAAUAAUCCGUCAGGACGAUAAGCUGCGUACGUUUUUUUUUCAAGGUAACGUCACAAAUAAGAACUGUAAUGAUCUUUUCGUGAUCCACAACGACGGCCUCAUGUUAUGCAUUGUGUCCUAUGACACCGUUGUGGUAGAGUAUAGCGUGCCUGACUGUGUAUUUGUUGUCCAAAUCAUUGAU